Molecule: long non-coding RNA, 4298 nt
Filed under: Gallus gallus (chicken)
Lineage: Eukaryota; Metazoa; Chordata; Aves; Galliformes; Phasianidae
Description: lncRNA (ENSGALG00010019396.1)
Source: RNAcentral
UCCAACUUCACUUGUCCUUCCUUGCCUCCUCCCAUUGCUAAUAUUCCUCCCAGUCCUCUGCAGAUGUUUUGUUAUCAUGCUACUGCAUGGUUAUUUUUCAAGUGGCUUCUUAGAGCAGAUGUUCUACAGGCACGUGCUCCUUAGCCUUCUGUUGACACUAUUUCUCUUAGAAAAGAAGCGUAUUGCUGCUUUACUCUUAAAAGGAGGAAAAAUAAAACCCAGGACUUCAAAUAAACAAACAAAUCAUUGGGGAUUUUAAAUACCUACUGAUAAUAUUAUGACAUCCCUAAUCAGCUUGGAUGUUGUUAUUAUUGCAUGCUUUACAAAGCAGCUCUUUCAAAAUAUCUCUGCUCAGAAAGCUCUAGCCACCCUAUUCAGUUGCAGAACAAAUCCUUUAACACUUAGCAAUAAAGGCUACAUGACAAAUAAAAUGUGGCAUGCAUACAUUUAAACACACGCAAUUCCACUAACAGAUUUUGAUUAUUUGCUUUAGCAAAAGAAGUCCCAAAAUAAAACAAUCAACAUUUGGUUUUAUGCUAGCAUGUAAAUUAAUGCACAGUUCAUACACUGGGGCAUGCUCUUACUUGGGCUCAGCAUCUUUCCAAGGUAUGGAAACCCCCCCUUACGAAGACAGGCUGAGAGAGCUAGGGCUGUUCACCCUGGGGAGGGGUUGGACUAGAUGGUCUUUAAAGGUCCCUUCCAACUCAAACGAUUCUGUGUUUCUCUGACCUUUCUGUUCCACUUUUAAUACAGUGUUUCAUUCUGGUUGCUAACACGGACAAGCAAGUGAGGAAAAAUUCAUUGCAGCAAAGUAUCACUGGAGGUUGGAUUUCAAAGAGAAAUGUGCAGCAAAGUAGUCAUCUGGAAAUAAAACUGGGUUGGAGGCACCACCUGGGUGGAGAAAAUAAACAAAUAUCAUACAAGUUUGGGAACCAGUGGCCAGGUUUCCCGACUUUCAAAGCAAGGAACAUACACAGAGGAGAAUUUAGAGUGGGAAUGAGUUACCCCCCUCUGAAUUAUUGCAUGGUUGUGCUGUUUGAUGUCAAGAGGCCUUUGCACUGCUCUGGAGUAGAUAUACCAGUAUUUUUCCUCCAAGCUCUGUCUCCCCAUCUGGCUCCACACUUGGUAUGUGUUAAAUUUAUUUUCAAGGAUGAUGAAAAACAUUCAAGAUGACCUAAUAGAUGUGUAUAAAAUAAUGAAGGAAGUGAUAAUGAUGUACAUGGUAAAACAUCUUCUUCCAUCCAAGUCGUUCAACAGCCAUGAAAUGUGGCAGAAAUGGUCAUAACAUAAGCAGGAAUAAAACCCAGUAAGGAUCUGUUUCAAUAAGAGAUAUAAACACCUGGAAAAAAUGGUCGCACUGGGCAACGAGAAACAAAUUGCAGUAGUAAUUUAAGUGCUUUCAAACUGUAUUUAAAAAAAAAAAAAAAAAGAAAGAAAGAAACACUGGACAGAAGGAAUGAGAUAAAUAAAGCAAGAGAAUAGAAAAGACACUUGAACGCAUCCCUGUGCAAGCUGCAUGGGGAAUAAAAGUGACUGUAAAAGAGCAACUGUUUAUUAUUAGCAGUUAUCAUCAUUUAUUUGCAUGAAGCCAAAUGUAAAUGAAGCCGAAGCCAGGUACUUACAGUGCAAUUGUAAGUACAUGCUUGCUUAUAUGCUUUACAAGAACAAAUCCUGCUUUCUCACCUUGAGCAAUGACUGUUCAAGAUGAUGGCACUGACAUAUUACGCUUGACCACUCAUGAAGUAUGCCAAACUUUCAGAGAUUAAGACUUUUACUAAGAACAUUUGCUGCUUUACUAAGAACAUUUGCUGCUUUAAAAAAAUCCUUCUGGCCUCUCAAACUGAUUUCACAGAAUCAUAGAAUGGCUUGGUUUGCAAAGGACCUCAGGAAUCAUCAAGCUCCAACCUGCCUGCUGCAGGCAGGGCUGCCAACAUCCAUAUCUAAUACUAGACCAGACUGCCCAGGGCCCCAUUCAACCUGGCUUUGAACACCCCCAGGGAUGGGAUUUAUUCCUUUUAAAGUCUGAUUUGAGCCUGAACUCCAAAUCUAAAACCUUGAAGAUGUAUAUUUUUCCCCUAAAUCUGAAACUUGGACUCUUCUCUGGUACUGACUCUUAAUUUUGGUGCCACAACAAUUUACACUUGUUAAAUGUGUGACUCUCUGUUUAUUCCCUAUAGACUGAGCUGAAAAAAAGGCAAAAUGUAACCUAUGCCUACAUAUGUUUUGAGAGAGCUUUUGAAAGUAAUAUUAAAUAAGUAAUAUUGUUAAAAGUAUGGAAGUACAUUCCGUUUCCUCUUGAAUAGCUCCACUGUCAGUUCUGUUAAUUGUUGCCCUGAGGCAAAAUGCUCAUGUGUACAGAUAAUACUACCCAAAACACACUGGAUGACAACCCUCUGUUUAUACACAGGACUUCCCUCUGUCCAAGUUUCUCUUCUACGUCAUAACAAGCUGCUUUUCAUGUUGUUCUUGACAGAUUGUGCCUCAGGGCAAGAAGCAGGGUGGUACAAGUACCUACAUGUACAGCUGACACAUGCUUUCAUCAUAUUAUAGACUUCAGUACCUUUUCAUUCUCUGUAUCUGAAAAGUGUAGCAUGAUAUAAAAGGCACAGUAUCAUUAUUUUUAACCAUUUUAUCAUCUAUUUUGCAGUUGGACUUGAUCUUUUUCCAACCUGAACAAUUCUAUGAUUCUACAAUUCUAUGAUGAGUAACAAGAGAUUAACUCAAAUGCUUACAUAUUUAAACUGCUGUUUGAGCAUUUCAAAAUUGAUACUUGCUUGUUCAAGACCUCAUUGCAACAAUUUCAGAAGAGGAUCUUCAGUAUAAAAUACUGAUUUCACUCAUUAUAACACCAGACCAUGACAGAAAUCUCUGACUUAGAUCUGUGCUGAACUUUGGCUUACCUUGAACAAAAUUUAAAUAGCAACAUGUUUUGUUUCCAGAGUAUCUCCAAUUAAUAAAUGCAUUCAUUUGAAAACACUUCACCUCAAGUUCCUCCAGGUCCACCUUUUAAAUAAAGGCCUAUUUUCUCUUCCUGACAUCAUUCGCAGCAAAGACAGAUAGAUUGUGUGCAGAGUUUAUUACAAGAUCGAUCAAGAUAAUUGAGGUAUAAUUUUCUCAGUGAUUUCUGUCAUCAUUUUUAAAGGCAGGGAUGAUUAUGUUUCUCUUUCACCCAUCUGGGAAAACACACAGUGUUCUCAUGUAAUUUGAACAUUUCAGCAAGGAUGUGAGACCAUCUUUUUGGAUGUAACUAAUAGCUCUGCCAUUAGGCCAUCCUCUCUCGAGACUUCAUUUUUCUUAUUAAUAAUCAUCAACACUAUCUCUUGUUCAGAAAAAAAAAAAAAAGAAAAAGAAAAGAAAGAGCCACACCUAAGACUUUUUCUCAUUGGCAUAACAGCCAAUUUCAAAUUUAAGAUGUGGCUUAUGCUUAUGACAAUUCAAAUGCUCCCUAUGAAAUCUCCAGAGAGAAUCCCUUUCUUUUUUCCCCACUUUUUUUUUUUUUUUUUUUAAGAAUGUUUAUUUAAGUUACUUUUGUGGGUUUUUUUUAAGGCUAUUUCAAAACUAAACUCCAAGUCCCCUAAUUUUGCUCAAGUAACCACAUGAAAUUUUCUAAUUUACACCAAUUUUUCCAUGCCAUAAUUUAAGUGAAUUAUUCUUAAUUACAUCUAACCUUUCAGUAGAACAAGAGCCUGACUGUCUACUUUGUUAUUUUUCUCUUGGUCUUUUUUUUUUUUUUUUUUUCCUUGUGUACUAUUCUGUUUUGGUAGCUGUGAUAUCCUCUAUCACAAAAAGCAUUCUGAAAAGCAUCUGAAAUACAAUUUCUUUGGUCCAAUAUUCAAUAAAUUUCUGGAUCUGUGAUGGUAAUGCUCAGUUUUACUGUCAUCACCUAUAUUCCAAUCGACUGUAACCAUUAGUACUCUACCCAGGAAUUUUGUUUCAAUCACUUUCACCUCUUAACACCCGAAAGGAAUAAGGCUUCAAGUUGAAGUUUUGGCCUUUGCUUAUUACUAAGAUAAAACCAGGACAUCAAAUAGGUUAACAACACACCCAUGACGGUAUAUUAUUGUCUAAGUAGUUUGUAUUAUUGUUUUGAAUCCUGGUUUUAUUAUUCUUCCAUAACCGACAGAGUUAAAGCAUUACUUCUGGAUAUGAGACCUGUGAUCUCCAAGGAUGUUUGUGAUGUAAAUAUACUUAAGCUUCAAGGUCCAUCUCUAAGCAUCUAUGUCCACAUUAAACAUUCUUUGUGUUAUAUAUCUAUGUACAAUUUCUGAUGUAUAAUAAACUUAUUCUGUUACAGCUUA